RNAcentral lists this ribosomal RNA (301 nucleotides) under uncultured bacterium. RNAcentral's name for it is "partial 16S ribosomal RNA". It matches the Rfam family "Bacterial small subunit ribosomal RNA", at positions 509 to 807 of the family's 1533-position model. The record is from RNAcentral.
CAGUCGCCGCGGGAAUACGAAGGGGGCUAGCGUUGUUCGGAAUCACUGGGCGUAAAGCGCACGUAGGCGGACUUUUAAGUCAGGGGUGAAAUCCCAAGGCUCAACCUUGGAACUGCCUUUGAUACUGGAAGUCUUGAGUUCGGGAGAGGUGAGUGGAACUGCGAGUGUAGAGGUGAAAUUCGUAGAUAUUCGCAAGAACACCAGUGGCGAAGGCGGCUCACUGGCCCGAUACUGACGCUGAGGUGCGAAAGCGUGGGGAGCAAACAGGAUUAGAUACCCGCGUAGUCCCUGUCUCUUAUAC